Molecule: ribosomal RNA, 259 nt
Filed under: uncultured bacterium
Lineage: Bacteria
Description: partial 16S ribosomal RNA
Source: RNAcentral
CUGCUGCCUCCCGUAGGAGUUUGGGCCGUGUCUCAGUCCCAAUGUGGCCGUUCACCCUCUCAGGCCGGCUACUGAUCGUUGCCUUGGUAGGCCGUUACCCUUCCAACUAGCUAAUCAGACGCGGGUCCAUCCUUUUGCGAUAGCAUCUUCAGAGGCCAUCUUUCCUUAAAGAAUCAUGCGAUCCUCUAUUAUUAUGCGGUAUUAGCUCCGAUUUCUCGAAGUUGUUCCCCACAAAAGGGCAGGUUACCCACGCGUUACU